Non-coding RNA from Microcebus murinus (gray mouse lemur), 3726 nucleotides. Lineage: Eukaryota; Metazoa; Chordata; Mammalia; Primates; Cheirogaleidae. The record is from RefSeq and is a predicted model, not a curated record.
CCUUAGCACCUACUACAUGCCAGCUACCACGUGAAGGCAGUUUAGGGCUUUAUCUCCUUUAAUCCUCUUCGCAACUUGUCAACGUGGGAGGGUUAUUUCUACUUUUUCCAGAUAAGAAAGUAUAAAUUCGAGGAUGCCCAUAAGGUAUUGUGGCUAGAAAUUGGCAGAGGCAGAAUCUGAGCCCAGGUCUGACUGCCUGAAAGUACAUUUUUGUCCCACUACAUGGAUGACAGUCUUUGGCCCGAUGUGAUAAAUGCGUCAAGAAAGUGUCAGCAGUUGCCUGCAGGAUUCAGAGGAGGGAAAAUUACUCUGGCGGGGAGUUGGCCGUGAGGGUGAUCAGGGAGGUCUUCUCUGAGGAGGAGGUACUGGAGGUGGCCGCGAAGGCUUCCGCAGGCAGAGAGGAUGGGACAAGGCAAGCGUGUGAGGACAGGGCAGAGGCUCCUGCUCUCCCCUCAGUGACAGCUGCUCGUGAGGGCCGGUGUGUGCUGGGAAUGCUUAGCUGUCGAGUAGAUGAGAGGAGGGGACACAAUGUGAUCUGGAUGAAGGGUUCAAGCGGGAAGAAUCGUAUGGAGGGCAUGUGCUCAGAUGCAGAGAAAAACCCUUAGACAAUUGAAACCUGGGAGCCACCAUAAGGACGGAGCCCCAGGUGGUGGCAGAGUGGACCAAGUGUGGCCUCCCAUGUGGCCACAGCUUCCCUUUGGCCUCUUCUUUUGACUGGUCCCCUCCUCCGUGGCUGCUUUUCAGAUCUCUCCCAUAUACCGGCCUUGAAAUAACCUUAUACAAGUUUCGGUCUUUCAGGGAGCGUGACGGUGCAGGGGUGAGGCUGUCCUUAGGAGGGUCCCCACAUUUCUGAACCUGUCGUUCUUAUUUCUCUCCAGAGAGGGGCAGGAGAUGCUGAGGUGCUCACCGGUGUCAGGGUUUGCUGUCAUGGCUGGCCUUUGCAGAGAAGAGUGUCGCGAUGAACACGAGAGUUACAAACUUCCAGCAACUGGAUUUACCUGAAGUCGUCAUGCCCACCUCCUCCCCAGCAGGUGGCUUGGGAUGCUAUGAUGCCAAGUAGGAUCCCGUUGUCACACACAGGCAGGUGCUGCGGGCGCCCUACGGAAUAAGCUGCUGCCCUUUGGCGUGAAGCUGCCCACGCCAGCCCAGGACUCUGGAAGUGGACGGAGGAGAUGCCAGGAGCUGCAGGAGCUGCGAGCAGGCUGCGGCCCAGCAUCCGCAGACAACGAUUAAGGAGCCAGAGGGCAGAGUCAAGAUUCCAGAGGGCAGAGCCAAAUCCAUGGACAACAACUCCCGAGGAGUAAGACAGAGCUCUAAGGAACUUGCAACCUGUGCCCAGCUAGAUUUCAGAAUUGCAGUAUCUCCGCCAUGCCUCCUAUUUUCUCCCUGUUUGAUAGGGGCAUUGUAGCCGUUACCCUAAUCCUGCCCUGCCGUUGUACGCUGGGGGUGGUGGGGAGGCAGGUGAUGUGCCUGUGUAGUUCACAGGUCUUCAAAUAGAGAAGAGUACCCAGGAACCUUACCUGGGGAGUGUUAUGCACGCCUGGAUUUGAUUUAUAUGAAGAAAUUGAACUCUGAGCUUGAUGAUUUAAUGAAAUGAGAUUUUGGGCACUGUGCACAAGAGCUGUUGAGACCAAAGGGCAAAUGUACCAUCUCCAAAGAUGGUCACAACAGCUCCCAUCCCGAAGGUCUCCUACAGAGCCAUCAAGAGGUGGGGUCUAAUUCUCCUCUGUGUGAACCUAUGUCUGCUUUGACCAACAGGAAGUGAUGCUGUAUAACUUCCAGGGCUGGCUUCUAAAGGCCAUGCAACUGCCACCUUGUUUGCCAGAACCACACUUGGAGCCCCGAGCUGCCAUGUGAGAAGUCUGACUACUUUGAGGCCACCAUGCUGGGAGGAAGUUAGGGCUACAGGCAGAGAUCACAUGUGGGCACUCUGUUGGAAAUUUACAGACAUGUGAAGGUGCCUCCAGAUGAUUCCAGCCCCGGAGCUUCCCAGCUGAGGCCCCAGACAUUCUAGAGCAAUGAUAAGCCACCCUCACUGUCUGAAUUCCUAACUCAUGAAAUCCAAUAAAUAGCGUAACAAAAUGUCUAUAACGUCACUAAGUUCUAGGGUAUUUGUUACAUAGCAACUGUAACCAGAACAGAUGGAUUGAUACACGGAUAGAAAGACAUAGGUAGAUGAACAGAUAUGUUGUAAAGCAAAUAAAUAUAGUAAAAUGUCCAUUGUAGAAUCUAGGUGAAACAUGUGUGGGUGUUCACUGUACAAGUCUUUCAGCUUUCCUGCAUAUUUAAAAAUUUUUACAAUAAAAAUUGGCAGGCGGGAAGGAUGGCCAGGCAAAACUAGCUAGCAUUUAUUGAGUCUUGCCUUGUGCUGGGUCCUGUCAAACACUUCGACAUCCAUUAUCUCAUUUAAUCUUCUCAGCAGCCCCUAGCAUUUUCUCCAUUUUACAGAUGAGGAAACUGAGGCACAGAGGGGUCCUAACAUACCAAUGGUAGUCAUGUUAAAACAGCAAAUGGCUUAUAAGGCCUCCUUUAUUUUUAUACUCUUCCAAAUUUGGAUUGUGUUUUUUGUAAGAGAAAAAAAAUAAAGUUCUUAUUAAAGUUCUCUUCCUUCCCAGCGUUCUUGGCAACUGCACAUUUCUUUGCCAGGUGCUAAGAAAACCUCCCUUGCACGCCGGCUCCAAAAGUAGCGAAAAGUUGUCAUAUUGAUUGUCUCCUCCUGCUCUGGCCGCACUCUGGAGGUAGGUCGGGCUCUUCUUAGGCAUAAAAACACUGUAGGGCUCAGAGACUUUAAAUCAGUUGACCGAGGUCACUCAGGAUUAAGGGACGGGGCAGAGCUCGCACUGGCGUCCCCCGAUGCGGAGUCCCGUGUGUUCGGCUUGCGUUUCUCUUAGUUGGUCUCCGGACUGUUUUCCGAGUAAACCACGGCUGGCAACUAAGCUGCACUUGCUCUGCGAUGCCCGUGGUUUCGGGACCGUCGUGCUUCCAGAGCAGCAUCCCCGCGCGGCCCAGUCUCGAAGCGCUUUGGAGCCGGCGUGGACAGGCACCCUUGGCCACCUGCGCGCCUCCGCAGGAAGGGAUGCUUUGCGUCUGGGUUUCCGUUUUCGCUGAGGGCCUGCACGAUGCCUGAAUGUCUCACCUGGGAUGCUUGGUUGGUGGCCCCAGGGAGGCCGUGCGCGCAGGGGCCUGGGGAUACCCGUCUUCCCCAGCAGGGGUGGGCUCCGGUUCUGCGUAGAGGAGGCAGGCGAGGAUGCGCGGUCCAUACCGUCAGCAGGGCUGCAACCUGGGCAAGGCCCGGCUGGCUCAGGAGCUGCACGCCGCCGUCUGGUUUCCCGCGGGCUUUUCCCAGAGAGCCUCGGCCCAAGGUUCUUGUCCCCGCCUGGGGUCGCCUGAGCUCUCCGGCUCCAGAAAGCUUUGCUGGACCACGUGGGGGAAGGGCGGCGGGCAGCUGUGCCUCGGCUGCUGUCUGCCAGAGCCCCGGGCGAGGGUCAGUGCCCAGCUCGGAUUGCGCGUGGGUGGGUGGGGGUGGGGCGCCUUCCGAAUUUCUCCCUUCCCUCUCUGCUUCCCCACUGAGGCUCCGCGGAGUCAGAUACUGGGGACCGGAGGACAGAGCCCAGGUGUGGCGGAGGGGUGGGGGAGCGUACUGUGCGCUGGACGGGCAUAGAAGGGGGCGGCCUGGGCCCAUACCAGUUGCUGGUCCGCGUAACCGCGCCCCCAUCUGAGCUGCGC